CAGUCGCCGCGGGAAUACAGAGGGUGCAAGCGUUAAUCGGAAUUACUGGGCGUAAAGCGCGCGUAGGUGGUUCGUUAAGUUGGAUGUGAAAUCCCCGGGCUCAACCUGGGAACUGCAUCCAAAACUGGCGAGCUAGAGUAGGGCAGAGGGUGGUGGAAUUUCCUGUGUAGCGGUGAAAUGCGUAGAUAUAGGAAGGAACACCAGUGGCGAAGGCGACCACCUGGGCUCAUACUGACACUGAGGUGCGAAAGAGUGGGGAGCAAACAGGAUUAGAUACCCGUGUAGUCCCUGUCUCUUAUAC
RNAcentral lists this ribosomal RNA (301 nucleotides) under uncultured bacterium. RNAcentral's name for it is "partial 16S ribosomal RNA". It matches the Rfam family "Bacterial small subunit ribosomal RNA", at positions 509 to 807 of the family's 1533-position model. The record is from RNAcentral.